AGCUCCAAUAGCGUAUAUUAAAGUUGUUGCAGUUAAAAAGCUCGUAGUUGGAUUUGUGGUUGCCCCUGCGGUCUGUAUUAUUCAGCACUGUGGGGGUGGCCAUCCUUGGGUGGAACCUGUGUGGCAUUAGGUUGUCGUGCAGGGGAUGCCCAUCUUUUACUGUGAAAAAAUUAGAGUGUUCAAAGCAGGCUUACGCCGUUGAAUAUGUUAGCAUGGAAUAAUGAGAUAGGACCUCGGUACUAUUUUGUUGGUUUGCGCACCGAGGUAAUGAUUAAUAGGGACAGUUGGGGGUAUUCGUAUUCCAUUGUCAGAGGUGAAAUUCUUGGAUUUUUGGAAGACGAACUACUGCGAAAGCAUUUACCAAGGAUGUUUUCA
This 375-nucleotide ribosomal RNA is filed under the name uncultured eukaryote. RNAcentral describes it as "SSU rRNA". It matches the Rfam family "Eukaryotic small subunit ribosomal RNA", at positions 587 to 972 of the family's 1831-position model. The record is from RNAcentral.